This 253-nucleotide ribosomal RNA is filed under the name uncultured bacterium. RNAcentral describes it as "partial 16S ribosomal RNA". It matches the Rfam family "Bacterial small subunit ribosomal RNA", at positions 524 to 776 of the family's 1533-position model. The record is from RNAcentral.
GACAGAGGGUGCAAACGUUGCUCGGAAUUACUGGGCGUAAAGCGCGUGUAGGCUGACCGGAAAGUCGGGCGUGAAAGCCCUGGGCUCAACCCAGGAACUGCACUCGAAACUCCCGGUCUAGAGUGGUGGAGAGGGAAGUGGAAUUCCUGGUGUAGAGGUGAAAUUCGUAGAUAUCAGGAGGAACACCAGUGGCGAAGGCGGCUACCUGGACAGGUACUGACGCUGAAGCGCGAAAGCUAGGGGAGCAAACAGG